CGGUCACAUAAGGUUGAAACAUCGGUUCCCGUAUGGAAAACUAAGUUAAGCAACGUCGAGCCGGGUCAAUACCUAGAUGGUUGACCGCUUGGGAAUACCAGGUGUUGUU
This is a non-coding RNA of Acanthosepion pharaonis, 109 nucleotides long. The record is from the annotation of a GenBank genome assembly. Lineage: Eukaryota; Metazoa; Mollusca; Cephalopoda; Sepiida; Sepiidae.